Oreochromis niloticus (Nile tilapia) is the source of this 2349-nucleotide long non-coding RNA. RefSeq lists it as uncharacterized. The record is from RefSeq and is a predicted model, not a curated record. The transcript has 2 exons. Lineage: Eukaryota; Metazoa; Chordata; Actinopteri; Cichliformes; Cichlidae.
UGAACAUAUUGCCAGAGGAAAUCGUAUCAAAGUUAAGCAGAUUGAGGCUGUCGCAGCCUCCCAGUAAGAGGCACACAGUAUAGAUCUUCUGCUGUAAAUAUUUUUGUAAUUCUCAUUAUGCGUACACGUGUCUGUCCUCCUUACUGUUUUUCAGGUUUUCAAUGUGACCUUGAAGACCAUGGCAGGUCCUCGUAGUCCGCCUCGUUAGGGAGGUUCUCUUUGUCGUCGUCGCACUCGAUCAUCACCGUGGGAACGGCGUGCAUCAUGGAGCUGCGGUUUUAGAAUGAAAUGGUAAAUGUGUCACAUAAACAUGUUCACACAUACACGUUCACUGCUGUGUGAAGUGAGUUUAAGAUGGAGAUACACACAUCACAUUUUCAGGUUUCUGAAUUUUCAGUUUCAACACAAAAAGUGCCAGCCAAUCAGUGAAGAGAGGUGAUUCCAAAACAAAAGGGUUACACAAAACACACCAGCCGCCUAAAGGGGAAGCCUGCUGGCUAAAAAAAAAGAGACAGGCCACCACUCACGGUGAUGGAAAGUGAAGUAGUGAAGGACAAAUGUUGCAUUUGCUUGCAUGCGUGAGAUGCCAGAGGUAACAAAAGAACACAGCUUUCCAUGUGUGAUAUUUUGUCAAUCAGUUCUCGUUAUGAGGGAGCAGAAACCUGAGAGGUUCCUACAGAGAGGCAGGCAGACAGUCAGAAGAAGUACAGAGAAACAAGGCGAGGGUUUAGAAAUCAAAUGAGAUGAAUACAAUGGCACGGUGAGUUAGGGUAAGAUAGGUGAACGUGCACUUAAGUCACAAACACCACACCUUUCAGAAAGAUUUCUGCUCCUUUUUGGACAAGCACGUGAUUUUUAAUAAUCAUUUACAUCUCAGCUGUGAUACUGAAGCUAAUGUUGCCUUAAGCAACAUUAGUUAGCAAACAAACCAACAAGCCCAGUAAACUGGAACAAAUUCACUUAGAGGUUUUCUUGGGUUUGGAACUCUUUAGUAUAGGACCUGCUUCUGUUCCCUUCCUCCCUGGUUAUCAACCUGUCUGUAUGGCUGACUUAUCAAUUCAGUUCAGUUGCCUUUAUAUAGGGUUAUGGUUAUGUCUGAAGGCCUCCACUAUCAUGGUAUAGACAGCCUCAAUGACUACAGACCUAUAGCCCUCUGUAGUCAUGAAGUGCUUCGAGCAGAUAGUGUCUCAGCACGUCAGAGGCUGCUACCCCCCUCCCUUGACCUGCACCAGUUUGCUUACAGAGCAAAUCCACAUCGGAUGCCAUCACCAUCACCCUUCACAGAGCGCUGAGCCAUCUGGAGAAAAGGAAGAGCUACGUAAGGAUGCACUACACCUCAGCAUUCAACACCAUAAUGACAGACAUCAGCAUCCCCAAACUGGACCACCUUCAGAUCCCCUAUUGGAACCUGCACGAUGGUUGGGCUCAUCUCUGAUAUAGAUGAAACAGCGUACAGGGUGGAGGUCGAGAACCUGUCCACUGGUGCUCAGAAAAUAACCUGAAGCUGAACAUCCUUAAAACAAAAGAACUCCUAAUGGACUUCAGGAGGCACAGACAGGUCCACUCCCUCUUAUUAUAAAAGGAGAAUGGGUGGAAUCUGAGAAAGAAUAACCUGGACCAGAGGCUGCUGCUGGUCUUCCUCCACUCCUGAGUGGAGAGUGUGCUCUGGAUGUUUGGAAUGCAGGGGCCACUACUGAGAACAGAAAGGCUGCGCAGAGGGUAAUUAACACUGCCCAAAAAAUGAUUGGCUGCCCUGUCCGUCCCCCAUCGCCCAAUCCUUCCCUCCCACCCCUGGAAGAUCGGGUGAUAGUCUCUAGGGGUGGGAUAACCAGCACAGCUGACCCCUUGGACCCCGCUCAUCACCUGUUUGACCAGUUGCCCUCUGGUCAGUGCCUCAGGUCAAUCAGGUCCCACACCUCCAGACUCACAAACAGCUUCUUCCCCUGGGCCAUUCGGACUGUUAAAAAACUUUCUCCCCCGACACCCCACCCCCGCCCACCCACCCACCCACCUCACCAAUCUGAGCCAUGGUCUGAGUAACCCUCAUCACUCAGUCCACUCACACACCGACUCUAAUUCAGACUGUGAAUAUACAGACUAAAUGGUGAUAUUUAAACAGAUGGUGCAAAGACAAGUCUUUUCUUUGCACUACCUUCAAGCACUUUGCUCUCCAAUGUGUGCCUCUCUAUUGUUUUGUAUAUAUUCCUCUAGACUGUAUAUCUCUUCUGUUUGCUAUUUAUUCCUGAUGUCUUUACUAUUCAUAUGUUUUUUUCACUCCUGCACAGCUGGCAUACAGCAUCCAUAAUUUCGUUGUACAUGUACAAUACAAUAAAGGGCUAUUCUAUUCCA